UUUUUUUUUUUUUUUUUUUUUUUUUUUCAU
RNAcentral lists this non-coding RNA (30 nucleotides) under Prorocentrum micans. Lineage: Eukaryota; Dinophyceae; Prorocentrales; Prorocentraceae. The record is from RNAcentral.